Bombyx mori (domestic silkworm) is the source of this 738-nucleotide long non-coding RNA. RefSeq lists it as uncharacterized. Lineage: Eukaryota; Metazoa; Arthropoda; Insecta; Lepidoptera; Bombycidae. The transcript is spliced from 2 exons. The record is from RefSeq and is a predicted model, not a curated record.
UUUGCCUAUUUUGUAUUUGAAUUAAGUAAAAUAAUUUUUUUUUUUUUCAUCUAAGCGAGCGACUAAUUUUUAAGCUUUUGGUUUAUUUCCGCUUCGAACUCGGUAGCUCGAUAUUUAAAUCCUGCACAUAGAGAAAGUUUUUAACAAUUAAUAGACUUUUAUUCUUUUUAUUGUACACUCAAAUCUUCAUUAGAGGCAUAGAAUUAGCAUCAUCGUUCAACUUUUCUUUAAAUUACCACAAAAAAGCUAUAAUUAUUAAUCUAAGCACACAAAAAACGAAAUACAAUAAUGUCAUUUCACGUGUCAAAGCACACACACACACACAGAUUUAAUGGAUCAGCUGUUUCUCUUCUCAGGACCUUGGGGCAGAUGAGACCAGGGCCACCACUUGUCAUAUCACUUUCCUGACAAUAGCAGGAUCUGAUUGGCGUUUCAUGAUCACAUUAAUGUUGAAUUAAUCUUUCAUCUACGCGGUAGGUUUUAUAAGCAAAAUCAUUUUUUUAUUUCGCUACCUAUGCUGGUAGCCUUACAAGGCCGUAACCAACCGUAACCGAGCGAGUCUGAUGAGCUCACGGGGCUCGAACCUGGAGAGGCUGCUAACACUAGCCAUAGUAAUGCUUCGCAGAAUCUACCACCGGAUCGGAAACACUAUCCACUGAGAAGAUCCGGCGGUUAUAUUCCUUCGUCAUACCGGACACAUAAGACAAAUAUGAAAAUAAAAGUUGUGUAUCAAAUUUA